RNAcentral lists this ribosomal RNA (495 nucleotides) under uncultured bacterium. RNAcentral describes it as "partial 16S ribosomal RNA". It matches the Rfam family "Bacterial small subunit ribosomal RNA", at positions 28 to 507 of the family's 1533-position model. The record is from RNAcentral.
GAUGAACGCUGGCGGCGUGCCUAAUACAUGCAAGUAGAACGCUGAAGGAGGAGCUUGCUCUUCUGGAUGAGUUGCGAACGGGUGAGUAACGCGUAGGUAACCUGCCUGGUAGCGGGGGAUAACUAUUGGAAACGAUAGCUAAUACCGCAUGACAACAGUUAUUGCAUGAUAACUGUUUAAAAGGGGCAACUGCUCCACUACCAGAUGGACCUGCGUUGUAUUAGCUAGUUGGUGAGGUAACGGCUCACCAAGGCGACGAUACAUAGCCGACCUGAGAGGGUGAUCGGCCACACUGGGACUGAGACACGGCCCAGACUCCUACGGGAGGCAGCAGUAGGGAAUCUUCGGCAAGGGACGGAAGUCUGACCGAGCAACGCCGCGGGAGUGAAGAAGGGUUUCGGAUCGUAAAGCUCGGUUGUAAGAGAAGAACGAGUGUGAGAGUGGAAAGUUCACACUGUGACGGUAUCUUACCAGAAAGGGACGGCUAACUACGUG